AUCUCCGCCGCCGCCCCUGCCCGAGAACCCCACACGUCUCCCAGUCCACUGGAAUCGAGCAGCGACAGCCUCCCUCCGUCUCCACCCCUGCUCCGGCGGUCGCGGGCUUCGGAACUGGCAAGGAGGGUUCGACCCGCACUGGACAUUGGAUGGGAGGCGGCCCUGAUAUGUCUCCCAGUCCACCGGAGAUGCGCAGGAUGGCAAGGCGAGGCUCGACUUCAGGCUCGCCUCCUCCUGCGCGGAGAGACGACGAGGGCGACCAUGCGCUCAAGGACCAGUAUCCCCGUCUUGUCGCGCCCCAUCACCACCUUCUCCAGGGCUUCAACGCCACUUCCCAUGAAGCCCUCCAGGGCGACGACGAUAACGCAGUACGCACUGACCCCGCGCCAUCUGGUCUCCCUUCCGUCGCCACCGAGUCUCACUGCCUCCGUCGUCACCCGAAGCUGGAUCUGGACCUUCUCCUCGACCAAGGGUCUCACACGGUCUGGCCCUGAUGCAUCCUAAGUGUGAGACAGGGAGCUAGACAACACUUGAGAUUUUUAGAGGUGAUUGUCAAAUGAUGGAGUUGCAAUAAUAUUAUAGGUAAAAGUGCAAGUGCACAUAAGUGUACCUUUCACUAUCCAAUUCAGAAUCAACACCUUCGAUGGCUCAUCCAAAAUGUCAGGAGUGUUGGCCUAUUGUGACUUUUGGUUCUGUUGUCGCCAAUUGAAUGUGGAUCAACCUGUUCAUCAAGGAUUUGUUGUACAACUCAGACUUUUUGCUAAUGCUAAAGAUAAUAUUCUCAACUUUGGUAGUACAACUUAGAAUUUUGCAUCUAGCUUGUAUGCAUAUGGAGAUGUAAAACUACCAAAUCCGAAUGCAGCUGUGAAUACGAAAUUGGUUCAUAUUUGGAGUCCUGCUCAUGAAAUCGAGUAGAGUUACACCAGUACACCACACAGCCUACCACUGCACUUGUUGAUGAACUUGAGUCCUACUUAUUAUUUUUCGUGGGUCUACUGAAAUUUAAUAACUUCUAGGAGCACGGUUUGAUGCUUCAUGCUCGGGCUGUUGUAGUUAUUCAAGCACUACAAAUUCUAAAUUGAAAGAUUGUGAACACCACUGUCUCUUUUGUGCAGUUAUUGGGCUCCUUUAAAUGAAUCUUAAUAUGGCUUAUAGGAGAGAAACCAUUUAGCCUCCAAUAUGCUUGAUUUAGGGUGGUACCUAUAUAUGCUUGCUAGGUUAUUCUUUGGUUACACUGAAAUGUUGUUUGCGCACACAUUGUCUGUUUAGAGUGGUGCACUUCUUGUUUUUCCAGGCCUCGUAAGGUCAGUGAAAUACUUUUCAAGCCAUGGAUCACGUCAUGGUGGCUUUGGCUGGGAAGAAGGCGGCCAAGGCGAUGCUGGAGGAGAGGGAUCUGCACAAGUUUGCCUCUAUCCUUGCGUCGGCACCCGUCGAGAAGAAGUGGAUUGCAGGUGAGCUUGCAGUGGCAGUCGAGUCAAAGCAGGUUUCUGGGCUGUAAUCACUGAGGUUGUGCUAGAUCUGCAUCAUAGGUAAACCUGCAUAUUGAUGUCAAAUUGCUGUCGGUUGUUGGUAGGAUCCUAAGAGAGACCACUUCGUCAUCGUCAAUUACAGUGAGAGGAGAUCAUGAUAAGAAAGAACCGUGGAGAUCAGGACGAAGAAAAUAGCACAACAUUGGUAAUUUUGGGAUUGCACGCAUCUACAAGAGAAAGAGCAUGAAUACAAGUUCAUGUGCUGGUUAUUUUUAUAGAUAUAUGCAAGUCGUUCUUUCUAAUUGAAAUCACUGCGCUUAAUGUCUUUGAUGCAAGUUGAUGGGAUGUAUUUUCAAAGCAGUGAAGCAGGCCUGUAAAUUUACCAAAGAACAUCUUCUUGAAAAUGGACCAAUUGUUAUCCCCGCCGCCACUCGGUCGAUCUCUGGUUGGCGGAGCCGCCUACCUCCUCCGGCGGGACGAUGGGAACCCCCUGUCCUGCCAUUCCUCUUGACGUUGUACCCC
Long non-coding RNA from Lolium rigidum, 1991 nucleotides. RefSeq lists it as uncharacterized. The transcript is spliced from 7 exons. Lineage: Eukaryota; Viridiplantae; Streptophyta; Magnoliopsida; Poales; Poaceae. The record is from RefSeq and is a predicted model, not a curated record.